AAUCAAGCGCGAGAAGGGCGUUUGGUGGAUGCCUUGGCAGCAAGAGGCGAUGAAGGACGUGAUACUCUGCGAUAAGCCGCGGUGAGCCGAGAAUAGGCUUUGACCCGCGGAUCUCCGAAUGGGGCAACCCACCUGAUACUCAGUUAUUAUUAGCCGCAAGGUUCUUGAUAAUUGGGUAAAACAGGGACUUAUGACCUGAAUAUAUAGGGUUAUAAGAGCAAACCCGGGGAACUGAAACAUCUAAGUACCCGGAGGAAAGGAAAUCAAUUGAUACUCCCCUAGUAGCGGCGAGCGAACGGGGACCAGCCGAGCCUUUAGAGUGACCGGAACAUGGUGGAAAACAUGGCCGUAGCGGGUGACAGCCCCGUACGGGAAGCUCGAGAGGACGUAUUAAGUAGGGCGGGACACGUGAAAUCCUGUCUGAAGAUCGGGGGACCACCCUCGAAGGCUAAGUACUCCUUGCUGACCGAUAGCGAACCAGUACCGUGAGGGAAAGGUGAAAAGCACCCCGACGAGGGGAGUGAAACAGUACCUGAAACCGAGCGCCUACAAUCAGUCGGAGCUUGACUGGACUCUUAUGACAAUCUGCGAGAGCAGAUGUUAUAAGUGUCCAGUCUUGUGACGGCGUACCUUUUGUAUAAUGGGUCAUCGACUUGGUCUAUCUAGCAAGCUUAAGCCGUUAGGUGUAGGCGCAGCGAAAGCGAGUCUGAAUAGGGCGUUGAGUUAGAUGGAUCAGACCCGAAACCGAGUGAUCUAGGCAUGACCAGGAUGAAGGUUAGGUAACACUAACUGGAGGUCCGAACCCACACCUGUUGAAAAAGGUCGGGAUGAGUUGUGCCUAGGGGUGAAAGGCCAAUCAAACUCGGAGAUAGCUGGUUCUCCGCGAAAUCUAUUUAGGUAGAGCGUCAUCCGAAUACCCCGGGGGGUAGAGCACUGGAUGGGUAAUGGGGCCCCACAGGCUUACUGAUCCUAACCAAACUCCGAAUACCCGGGAGUACUAGAUGGCAGACACACUGCGGAUGCUAACGUCCGUAGUGGAGAGGGAAACAACCCUGACCUACAGCUAAGGCCCCCAAUUCAUGGCUAAGUGGGAAAGCAGGUGAGACGGCCAAAACAACCAGGAGGUUGGCUUAGAAGCAGCCAUCCUUUAAAGAUAGCGUAACAGCUCACUGGUCUAAACAAGCUGUCUUGCGGCGAAGAUGUAACGGGGCUCAAGCCAUGAGCCGAAGCUUAGGAUGCCGUAUGGCAUGGUAGCGGAGCGUAGUGUGACAUAGGUUCAUUCCUCCUUAGUGGGUUCGCCCACAUUGGAGGAGAGAGCUUUACUGUGAAGCCGGGGCGUAAGCCAUCCGGUGGAGUGAUCACUAGCGAGAAUGAUGACAUGAGUAGCGACAAAGAGUGUGAGAGACACUCUCGCCGAAAGUCCAAGGGUUCCUGCUUAAAGCUAAUCUGAGCAGGGUAAGCCGGCCCCUAAGGCGAGGCCGAAAGGCGUAGCCGAUGGGAACCAGGUUAAUAUUCCUGGGCCAGGAGAUGGUGACGGAUCCCGGACGUUGUCGAUCCUUAUCGGAUUGGAUCGGCAGCCAAGGGGUCCCUGGAAAUAGCCCUCCAUGAGACCGUACCCUAAACCGACACAGGUGGACUGGUAGAGAAUACCAAGGCGCUUGAGAGAACGACGUUGAAGGAACUCGGCAAAAUACCUCCGUAAGUUCGCGAGAAGGAGGCCCAGUUUCUACGCAAGUAUUGGCUGGGGGCACAAACCAGGGGGUGGCGACUGUUUACUAAAAACACAGGGCUCUGCGAAGUCGCAAGACGACGUAUAGGGUCUGACGCCUGCCCGGUGCCUGAAGGUUAAAAGGAGGGGUGCAAGCUCCGAAUUGAAGCCCAGGUAAACGGCGGCCGUAACUAUAACGGUCCUAAGGUAGCGAAAUUCCUUGUCGGGUAAGUUCCGACCUGCACGAAUGGCGUAACGACUUCCCCGCUGUCUCCAACGUCGACUCAGCGAAAUUGAAUUGCCUGUCAAGAUGCAGGCUACCCGCGGUUAGACGGAAAGACCCCGUGCACCUUUACUACAGCUUCAGACUGGCAUCAGGCAUGUGAUGUGCAGGAUAGGUGGUAGGCUUUGAAACCGGAACGCCAGUUCCGGUGGAGCCACCCUUGAGAUACCACCCUUCGCCUGCUUGAUGUCUAACCGCGAACCGUUAUCCGGUUCCGGGACCCUCUGUGGCGGGUAGUUUGACUGGGGCGGUCGCCUCCUAAAUCGUAACGGAGGCGCGCGAAGGUUGGCUCAGAGCGGUCGGAAAUCGCUCGUUGAGUGCAAUGGCAGAAGCCAGCCUGACUGCGAGACUGACAAGUCGAGCAGAGUCGAAAGACGGCCAUAGUGAUCCGGUGGUCCCAAGUGGGAGGGCCAUCGCUCAACGGAUAAAAGGUACGCCGGGGAUAACAGGCUGAUACUGCCCAAGAGUCCAUAUCGACGGCAGUGUUUGGCACCUCGAUGUCGGCUCAUCUCAUCCUGGGGCUGGAGCAGGUCCCAAGGGUACGGCUGUUCGCCGUUUAAAGAGGUACGUGAGCUGGGUUUAGAACGUCGUGAGACAGUUCGGUCCCUAUCUGCCGUGGGUGUAGGAUACUUGAGAGGAGUUGCCCCUAGUACGAGAGGACCGGGGUGAACGAUCCACUGGUGGACCUGUUGUUGCGCCAGCAGCAGUGCAGGGUAGCUAUGAUCGGACAGGAUAACCGCUGAAGGCAUCUAAGCGGGAAGCCCCCCUCAAAACAAGGUAUCCCUGAGGGCCGUGGAAGACCACCACGUCGAUAGGCCGGAGAUGUACGCGCAGCAAUGCGCUCAGUUGACCGGUACUAAUGGCCCGAUAGGCUUGAUUUG
This 2872-nucleotide ribosomal RNA is filed under the name Roseivivax halotolerans. RNAcentral describes it as "bacterial LSU rRNA". It matches the Rfam family "Bacterial large subunit ribosomal RNA". Lineage: Bacteria; Pseudomonadati; Pseudomonadota; Alphaproteobacteria; Rhodobacterales; Roseobacteraceae. The record is from RNAcentral.